Molecule: ribosomal RNA, 502 nt
Filed under: uncultured bacterium
Lineage: Bacteria
Description: partial 16S ribosomal RNA
Rfam family: Bacterial small subunit ribosomal RNA
Source: RNAcentral
GAUGAACGCUAGCGGCAGGCCUAACACAUGCAAGUCGAGGAGCAGCACAGAAACAGCAAUGUUUUGGUGGCGACCGGCGGACGGGUGCGUAACGCGUAUGCAACCUACCUUUAACAGGGGGAUAACGGAGAGAAAUUUCCACUAAUACCCCAUAACAUCGAUCAAGGCAUCUUGAUUGGUUGAAAACUCCGGUGGUUAAAGAUGGGCAUGCGUUGUAUUAGGUAGUUGGUGAGGUAAUGGCUCACCAAGCCUACGAUACAUAGGGGGACUGAGAAGUUAGCCCCCCACACUGGUACUGAGACACGGACCAGACUCCUACGGGAGGCAGCAGUGAGGAAUAUUGGUCAAUGGGGGCAACCCUGAACCAGCCAUGCCGCGUGCAGGAAGACGGCUCUAUGAGUUGUAAACUGCUUUUAAACAGGGAUAAAGCACAGUAUGUAUACUGUGUUGAAGGUACUGUAAGAAUAAGGAUCGGCUAACUCCGUGCCAGCCGCCACCGUAA